UUGAGUGGAAUGCUGGAAAUGAAGUCAACAGAGCAGAAACAAGUGACUAAUCAGGCAGUGGAUGACUGAUUACUGAGGUCUGGGCCCCAGGGUGAUGUGUGUGGCCUACAGACAUGGAUACAGCAUUCAACAGUAAGGGUCUCAUGGAAUCUGACAAUGAUGAUCUCACAGUCUUGAGACUGAAGAGAAAGGCUAGGCAUCAACUCCGAGGCCCAUUCACAGUUGGAAAAAUUUGUCCCGGGAUCUUAAAUAAAGACCAAACAGGUGGAGGGAGAACUAGAUGAGGAGCAGUGGCUAAGACAGCAGAGAAGCCACCAGAUCAGCAGCUAUAAUCAAGGCUUUCUAUAAUGAGAAACACUAAAAAUAUCUGAAGGAAAAUAACCAGGACAGAUUACUCCUCCUGCCAGCCCACACCCUGCUGCUUAAGAAAAAUAAUAAAUAAGAACCAGCAUUGUGGAUUUUCCAGAAGUCAUAAAUUGUUUUGAUAUUUUUAGUAAUUCAAUAACCACAUGUUUAAUAUGAGUAAAAUAUGUCUGAAAAUUA
Cricetulus griseus (Chinese hamster) is the source of this 543-nucleotide non-coding RNA. Lineage: Eukaryota; Metazoa; Chordata; Mammalia; Rodentia; Cricetidae. The record is from RefSeq and is a predicted model, not a curated record.